CUUUGAACUUCAUGUUUUCACAACACAUUAAAAGAAAAUCAACAAUACAUUUCAUUUUCGAUAUGCUUAAAACUAGUCACGAGAGGAGAUAACUAUCAUAUAAAAUCCAUGUGCCCCCAAUUUUUUUCUUAUGAAUUCUUCUCGGCGGUCCAAAUAUAGACCAUAAUAAAUAAAGAAAAGUACGGGGCUAGAUUCCAACGUACGUGUUUUAAAUGAAUUUGACUAAACUUGGGGAAAUUAAUAUCAAUGAGUUGAGAAGAGUUCAAUGAAAGAAACUAGUCAUGGGCAUAUGAGCAAACUACCAAAUGAGAGCCGUCAAUUCUUCACCUUCUUCUAACGUCGCUUUCCCAACGACGUUAAUUUACGGCAAGUUGGUGGAUAUCUUUCCCUCCCACCGUCGAUUUUUCACCCCUCUUGUGUUGGCACGUUCCAACAAAGAUAUCUAUCACAUCUUGUGCGAGUGUUUUUAUUGACACUUGGUUUUCAGUUUGGUUUGGUUCAUCUGUUGGUUUUGUUAAUCCGAUGGAUUUUUGUUGGAGGAUAGGCCGUCGG
Molecule: long non-coding RNA, 552 nt
Filed under: Brassica napus (rape)
Lineage: Eukaryota; Viridiplantae; Streptophyta; Magnoliopsida; Brassicales; Brassicaceae
Description: long non-coding RNA (BNAP_LNC015403)
Source: RNAcentral